UACGUAGGGUGCGAGCGUUAAUCGGAAUUACUGGGCGUAAAGCGUGCGCAGGCGGUUGAUUAAGACAGGCGUGAAAUCCCCGGGCUUAACCUGGGAACUGCGCUUGUGACUGGUCAGCUAGAGUACGGCAGAGGGGGGUGGAAUUCCACGUGUAGCAGUGAAAUGCGUAGAGAUGUGGAGGAACACCGAUGGCGAAGGCAGCCCCCUGGGCCGAUACUGACGCUCAUGCACGAAAGCGUGGGUAGCAAAC
RNAcentral lists this ribosomal RNA (250 nucleotides) under uncultured bacterium. RNAcentral's name for it is "partial 16S ribosomal RNA". It matches the Rfam family "Bacterial small subunit ribosomal RNA", at positions 524 to 773 of the family's 1533-position model. The record is from RNAcentral.